AUUGAACGCUGGCGGCAGGCCUAACACAUGCAAGUCGAACGAGUGGCGGACGGGUGAGUAAUGUCUGGGAAACUGCCUGAUGGAGGGGGAUAACUACUGGAAACGGUAGCUAAUACCGCAUACCAUCAAAUGUGCCCAGAUGGGAUUAGCUAGUUGGUGGGGGAACGGCUCACCAAGGCGCCGAUCCCUAGCUGGUCUGAGAGGAUGACCAGCCACACUGGAACUGAGCCACGGCCCAGACUCCUACGUGAGGCAGCAGUGGGGAAUAUGGCACAAUGGGCGCAAGCCUGAUGCAGCCAUGCCGCGUGUAGGAAGAAGGCCUUCGGGUUGUAAAGUACUUUCAGCGGGGAGGCGUUACCCACAGAAGAAGCACCGGCUAACUCCGUGCCAGCAGCCGCGGUAAUAC
Molecule: ribosomal RNA, 406 nt
Filed under: uncultured bacterium
Lineage: Bacteria
Description: partial 16S ribosomal RNA
Rfam family: Bacterial small subunit ribosomal RNA
Source: RNAcentral